CCUGAGAAACCCAAAAGAUCGAAUGAGGAGAUUCAUCGUCAAUAUAUUUAAUAUAUAUAUAAGUUAUGAUGUAAAUUAUUUUUUCUCUUUAUGGGUUAUUUAAUAUAUACAUACUUGUAUUAUUUUAUUGUUAAAUAUUAUCGACGUGCACUUCUCCUCUAGUAGGACGUUGCGACCCGUUGGGUGUCGGUCUAUGGCCUUAUUAAGUAGCCUUUAAUUCCUUAAAAAAAUUAAAGAUUAAUUUGUGUUUCCUGACCGACUGCCCGGCGGUAUUCAUAUGAUAAUGAGUCGCAUUUUAUUAUGCGUUCAUACCCAUCGCAAGCGAGGCCAGUUUAUUAUCCUGGUAGUUACGGACUUAGUGCCGUCGCUGGGCCUGGCCAGCUG
RNAcentral lists this ribosomal RNA (384 nucleotides) under Praon volucre. RNAcentral describes it as "eukaryotic LSU rRNA". The record is from RNAcentral. Lineage: Eukaryota; Metazoa; Arthropoda; Insecta; Hymenoptera; Braconidae.